Molecule: small RNA, 2468 nt
Filed under: Pyricularia oryzae
Lineage: Eukaryota; Fungi; Ascomycota; Sordariomycetes; Magnaporthales; Pyriculariaceae
Description: Magnaporthe oryzae sRNA M_BR32_EuGene_00111801
Source: RNAcentral
AUUGUUUGAUAAAUAUUAGAUAAAAUCUAUUAAUAACUUAAAAAUUAAUAUGCAAAAUUAUAACUUUUUAUUAUAUUAUUUGGGAUUUAAACUUUUAAAAUAACAAGAUUUUAAUUUUUGGUAUAUUUGUUAUUUCUACCAAGAAUAAUUAUAAUCUAAUAUAUAAUAUAAUCAAACUCGAAGAAAUUAAUAAUAUAAUUUAUUCUGGAGAAAUUUCAUAUAAUAAAUAUUAUAACGUUGUUUUGUAUUUAUUUUAUUUGAGUAAAUAUAUUUACUUAGCUGGUUUUGUUUAAUCGAGCAAAUUUCCGUAUAAUACCAGUUUAAUUUUAGGAAAUUAAAGUAAAAGAAUAUUUUACGUGUUACAAAAUUGUAUUCGAAUAAAAAACGCGUAAUAUUAAAUAAUAUUUAUUAUACGUUUAAUAAAACGCAUAAAUAAACCCGUUACUAACGAUUUAAUUGGUUUUAACCUAAUUUGAAUUUAAUAUGGUUAAACGUUUUGUUAAUAGUUUAAAUCUACGCCGUUGGGGUUCAUUGCGGUGGUUUAAUACGCAAUAUACCCUCGAUCCGGCGCGCAAAUACCGGAUCUGGUUUUUUGGACUACCGCCGGAGAUUGAUAUAAAUUAAAAAUGCAAUAAAAAUAAUAUAAUAAAGGGAAUAUGAGAUUAAAAAAGUACAAAGAUAUAAUUUUAAAAGUAUGCGGCCGUUUAAAUACCUUUUUUAAUUAUUUGCGAUAUGAUUUUCGUUUAAUAAGUUCUUCUUUUAAUAUUUCGAUCGAUUUGGUAUUACUAUAACGCGAUUUUACCAAUCGCACCGUCUUUUUGGCGUUUGUAAUACGCAAAUUAAUAUCCUAAUUAAAUUUAUUAUAAUUUAAUAUUUUUAACCUGUUUUGGUCUACAAAUAUAACAUCGCGGAUUAUAUUAAAUUCUUGCGCCGCAAAUACUUUAUAUUACGGUUAAUUCGGUUUAUAAUAAUAUUUUUUAACAAAAUGCGGGCGGAAAUUCCGGACCUUCCGAAUUUAUACCAUAACUGCGGAAUGAAUUCAAAAUUUUCAACCGAAAAAGAAUCGCCUGAAAAUUGGAAUUUUUCGGAUAAAGAUAAAGAGGUAAAUUAAUUUUUUAAUUCCAAAUUAAAUUUGUACUAAUUUUUUUAUAAAACAAUUAUGCGGAUAUUUUUUAAAAAUAAAUAUUUGUUAGCAAAAUAAAUAGAAAAAACGCGAAAAACGUCGCGUUACCGAAUAUAAAAAAAUUCGGGCCAAAUUGGCCGUCCAAAAUAUUGCGGCGCAAAUAAUAAAAUUAAAUUCGAUUUUUAAUUUAAACGGCGCGACAUUAAUCAAAUCGGUUAUUAUUUUGUAAACGCGGACUUUAAUACGGCGAAACGCGCGGGUAAACGCGUUUUCGAAAAUUAUUCUGGUUAUAUAUAUUAUCCGUUAUAAAUAAUGAAAAUAAUAACGAGCCGGCGUAUUAUAAUUACGAGCGAAAAUUAAUUAAAAAUAAUAAAACAAAAUAUUGGAAUUGUUAUAACGGGUACCGGAAAUAUAAACCAAUAUACAUGGAAAAAACCAUUUUUUUCGUUGCAAUCUUAUAUUAACCAAAUAGUUCGUCGAAUUUGCGUUUUAUAAUUGUUAUUUUCGUUAUAAUUUACCAGAAAAAUAAAACCAAAUUAUAUUACUAAUUAUUUAUUAUUAAUCGCGACCGCUCAGUAAUUAAUUUUCUAUAAUGGUAAUAAAGUUUUGGAAAUAAAACAAUUGGUAUCGCGGCGGUAAGAAUUAACAUUUUUUUGUUAAAUCGGGCCGAAGUUUUGGCGGUUAUUAUUACCAGUAAAAUUUCAAAACGCGUAUUUUAGGUAAUUUUGCGGAAAACAAAAAUACUUUGCAAUUUAAUAAUUAUAAUGUUAUAAUUUAAAGGUUCUUCCCGUUUUCCAAAUUAUUUGGGUGUUUUCCGGCGGAAUUUUAGCAGGGCGUUUUUGAUUAUUUGCUUAAAUUAUAGUACUGUUUUGCCGCGUAAAAAUAUAAAAUGCGCCGCAAUCCGUCCCAUAUUUUAUUUGUUAGCAAUUUCCAAAUAGAAAAUAUAUUUGUUUAAAGAGAAACUUUUUAUUUGUACCAUAUAUUAUUUAAUAUAUAUUAAACGUAACUAAUAUAUGGUAACCGUAACAUUUGCGCGGCAAAAAUAAGAAAACUUCUGCAAUUCCGGAUAUAUAAAUUUAAUAAAUUUUGUCUUCCCUUUUUAAUUUUUAAAUACGUUAUAUAAACUUAAUAAUUGUCGGAAAUAUUCGAACUAUUAUUAGGUAAAUAUUCUCGUUAAUCUGUCCGCAAAUACAAAAUUCGUUGGUAAAUAUUCGACCGCAAUUUUUCCAUUUUAAAUUAAUUACCGUAAUUAUAUAUUUUAUAUAUCGAUAUAUUCAAAUUUCGUUAAAGCUUUUUUAGUUUAUUAUAUUAUCAACCAAAUUAUAUAUAUAUAUAUAUACUAUUA